AUGGCUCAGAGCGAACGCUGGCGGCAGGCUUAACACAUGCAAGUCGAGCGGGCGUAGCAAUACGUCAGCGGCAGACGGGUGAGUAACGCGUGGGAACAUACCUUUUGGUUCGGAACAACACAGGGAAACUUGUGCUAAUACCGGAUAAGCCCUUACGGGGAAAGAUUUAUCGCCGAAAGAUUGGCCCGCGUCUGAUUAGCUAGUUGGUAGGGUAAUGGCCUACCAAGGCGACGAUCAGUAGCUGGUCUGAGAGGAUGAUCAGCCACAUUGGGACUGAGACACGGCCCAAACUCCUACGGGAGGCAGCAGUGGGGAAUAUUGGACAAUGGGGGCAACCCUGAUCCAGCCACGCCGCGUGAGUGAUGAAGGCCCUAGGGUUGUAAAGCUCUUUUGUGCGGGAAGAUAAUG
RNAcentral lists this ribosomal RNA (408 nucleotides) under bacterium Ellin293. RNAcentral's name for it is "bacterial SSU rRNA". It matches the Rfam family "Bacterial small subunit ribosomal RNA", at positions 19 to 453 of the family's 1533-position model. The record is from RNAcentral. Lineage: Bacteria; Pseudomonadati; Pseudomonadota; Alphaproteobacteria; Hyphomicrobiales; Nitrobacteraceae.